AGGGGUAGAGCUCAGCUGGUAGAGAGUUUGCCUAGCAUGCACAAGACUCUGGGUUCGAUCCCCAGUACUGCAU
This is a transfer RNA of Neotoma lepida (desert woodrat), 73 nucleotides long. It matches the Rfam family "tRNA". Rfam says of the family: Transfer RNA (tRNA) molecules are approximately 80 nucleotides in length. Their secondary structure includes four short double-helical elements and three loops (D, anti-codon, and T loops). The record is from Rfam. NCBI's taxonomy places the organism in Eukaryota, Metazoa, Chordata, Mammalia, Rodentia, Cricetidae.